This 2268-nucleotide long non-coding RNA is filed under the name Homo sapiens (human). RNAcentral describes it as "non-protein coding lnc-OC90-1:1". Lineage: Eukaryota; Metazoa; Chordata; Mammalia; Primates; Hominidae. The record is from RNAcentral.
CUCUUAACUCUUGAAGUAAAUAAAUAAUCUUUGCUGGCAGGACUAUGCUGAAUCUCCUUAGGCACUCUCUAAUUAGAUGUCCUAGGUCCUCCCAAUUCUUAGUCCUUUUAUACCUGUUUUUCUCCUUCUCUUAUUCCAUUUAGUUUUUCAAUUCAUACAAAACUGUAUCCAGGCCAUCACCUAUCAUUCUAUACAACAAAUGUUUCUUCUAACAUCCCCACAAUAUCACCCCUUACCACAAGACCUCCCUUCAGCUUAAUCUCUCCCACUCUAGGUUCCCACGCUGCCCCUAAUCCCGCUUGAAGCAGCCCUGAGAAACAUCGCCCAUUCUCUCUCCAUACCACCCCCCAAAAAUUUUCGCCACCCCAACACUUCAACACUAUUUUAUUUUUCUUAUUAAUAUAAGAAGGCAGGCAUGUCAGGCCUCUGAGCCCAAGCCAAGCCAUCGCAACCCCUGUGACUUGCACCUAUACGCCCAGAUGGCCUGAAGUAACUGAAGAAUCACAAAAGAAGUGAAUAUGCCCUGCCCCACCUUAACUGAUGACAUUCCACCACAAAAGAAGUGUAAAUGGCUGGUCCUUGCCUUAACUGAUGACAUUACCUUGUGAAAGUCCUCUUCCUGGCUCAUCCUGGCUCAAAAAGCACCCCCACUGAGCACCUUGAGACCCCCACUCCUGCCCGCCAGAGAACAAACCCCCUUUGACUGUAAUUUUCCUUUACCUACCCAAAUCCUAUAAAACGGCCCCACCCUUAUCUCCCUUCACUGACUCUCUUUUCGGACUCAGCCCGCCUGCACCCAGGUGAAAUAAACAGCUUUAUUGCUCACACAAAGCCUGUUUGGUGGUCUCUUCACACGGACGCACAUGAAAUUUAGUUGUAUCCAUAAGGCAUAUGGAGGAGACUAAUUCCUCUUCCAAAGACAUGUACCAGAGUCCUGGAGAGGCUGAGGGCUGGAGGUGGAAGAAAGGCUCUGACAGGGGUCAGAAUCUGUUCAGGAAACAUAGCAAAUGCCUGAUACUUUUAAUUAGAGAAAGGUUUGAAUCUCCACAUUCAUAUAUUUGCAGUCCAGUGACCUUUCAGUUUUUUUAUGCCCAAAGUGUCAAGCAUGUUAAUGUUACCAUUGACUGCCUCCCUGAAGGUGCAGCUACCAGGGGAACUGCCAGGACUUCAAAGCCCACAACCAAAAGCCAGAAAACACUACCAAGUACAAGCCCCGGACACUGGACCCAGAGCACACCCUGGGCAUCUGCUCUGAGAUCCUCUCCCUGGACAGAGACAGCUGCUCCUUCAGAAACAGAGGAGACCCUGAACACAGGCAGGCCUCCUGAGCUUCCAGCCAGGGCCACAGCCACAUGGUUCAGUGCCUCCCACACUCUCCCAGCCUUGGCUACCAGGAGGGUGGCCAGAACUCAGUGGUUGACAGCUGACAGACAGACGUGGGCUUCCAUAUCGUCCGUGCCCUGGGCUCAGACCAUCAGUGAGAAAAAACCUGGAGGGUCUCUCUGGGAAACUCGUUCUUCCCCACCGACUACUGCAGGGACCGAGGAAGCCAUGAACACUACAAGCCUUUUGGCGCCUGCUGCUGAGAUAAUGGCCACACCUGGCAGCCCAUCCCAGGCCAGCCCUACCUUGGGAGCAUUCACCCAUGGCACACAGACUCCGAGUCCAACCAAGGCAACAGCCCCCAGAUAUCCACAAACAGGUGAUCUCUCUGCAGAGUGGCCAUUCACUGCUGGUGAAGAGCCAGUCCUGGUCCCAAGACCCCAUCAAGUUUCAAGGUGUCCUCAGCCACUCUUCAAGGUGGGAGCUAUGGCAGCUGCUCCUCUCACCCUGGCUAUUCAGAGGCUCAACCCAUGCCUGAUGGAGCUGUGCCAAUUCUUCCAGCAAUGCCUCUGCAUGAGCCAGAGGAGUCCCAGGACAGAGGACAUGAGAUACUGUCUUGAAUACUAUUCCUGGUUUCUGAAGAAUGCAACAUAUAUCUGUCAGAGGGUGAAAAGGGUGUCCCACUCGCACACCUUAAAGCAAAAGUGCCUUGAGAAUAUCUGCAAGUCUGUGUGAGGCCUUGAAAAUAACACUAGGGCAUAACAAUUACUUCAGGGGAUACGCCAUCCACCCUGGCUCUUGUCCCAAGUGGGCUACAUUUGAAGAAUUCACCCAGGCUCCAGCUAGAUCAUCAGUUAAUUUAAAGUGGUUAUUCUUGGAAGUAGCAUUUUUUUUCCCUCUCCUGUGAAUCUGUGCAAAACAUUGAAGGUAGAAGUUUUCUUGUUA